CCUCUCCCCGGCGGCCCUUAUCCCCCACAAGCACAACGACCUCUCCCCGCUGCCUCCUGUCACACCGCGGCCUUGCCUCGCCGCCAACCCCGCGGAUCUUCCCUAGAUCGGCUCUGCCGCCGCCAUAGUACUGCCCCAGAGCAGAUCGAGAUGUGUGGGAGGAGGCAUCUCGAAUUGGACUGAGAUUCAGUCCGUUGAUGUGCCCGCCGUAAUCAUCGCCCCCCGUGCUUGGCUCACACAGUCGCUCCGGGAAGGAGUUCGCAGCUCGUGUACGUGCUCGGUUGCUGAAGCCCAAUGAAAUGUAUGGCCUUGAGCUCCAUUAUUUAGGCCUGAUCUCAUGAGAGGUGGUAUGUCUAUUGCAUUGGCAUACAAUAAGGUAAAGAAUUGCAUUGGCAUACCAAAUCUGUUGAUGAAAUGUGCUUCAGGAGUGCUAAGCAGUGAAAAAAAUAAACAUAAUAGCAUACCAAAUGUACCCUGUUAAGCAUAAAUGGUCUGAGUUAUAUUAGGAGGCGUGCCCAUCCGUCUGAAGACUGCUCUUAGUAUAUUCUUCUCUUUUCCAUGUUGUAACAUUUAGAUCAGUCCACUUAUCGGAUUUUAAUUCCAUGUGCUCGGAUGCAUAUUUGAAUAAAUCAACCAGUCCUUCUAGCUGUUGUACCAACAAAUGAAAAAAAUUAUGAGCAUGACAAGUGAGAAAUAAGAGAAAAAAUAGCUUCUUAUGAAAAGAUGGGGCAGUAGGACUAACUACUAACCGUAUUAGUGAGGUCCUUGCGGUUCAUUGAUGGGCCUAGCGAGUCGAGCACUUGAACACAUAGUUUUCUGGCAUUUAUAACACAUAGGUACCAGUGAACUUCGUCCAUGUUUAUUGGAAUGAAUAUCUGAAGAAAAUGAUUAUUUUAGUUGUACUCCUAUGUGGACGAAUCGGUCGUUCUCGCUGUAAUUCAUAGAAAUAUGUAGAAAAGUAAGACUAACCGUAUCAUUUUCCAUAUACUCUUUGGCUCUGUUUAAUACCCAUGCAGGUGUGGCAUCCGUGUUAUCUGAGGACGGAUAGCAACCGAUCUUUAUCAUGUUAGAGAUGCAUGCAUUCUCUAAGAACACACUUCCACCUGACCUUACUUGUAGAUGCUCCGUAGCCAAUCACGAUCUUCAUCGGCUAUAGAAAUUGAGUGACUGUAAGUUAGGAAAUCAAAGAUUGGAUAUGCAGUGUUUCAUGUAGCUGGCAUCACCUGUGUCGGAUUGUUUUUGUUCUCCAGUUGUAAGGACUACUGUAGAUUUGGCUCGAUGCCGUUUGUCAUGUAGGCUUUGUAAUAUACCUUGUUUAUAUUGCUCAUACCGGGCACUUUCCCUCUGCCUCUUGAGUGCUUGUUUUGCUUCUGUAUAAUAAGUGUUAAUUAGGUACACGACAACAUGAGCAACAAUGUUUUGUCAAUCAGAUGUACGGUGUAAGUGUAAAUUAUGUAUGAUAGUUAAUAUGAGCCACAACUGAGUACCAUAUUAACUGCUGCAUCUGUAGGCUUGAAGUGGCGGUCGUAACACAGUCGGUUGGGAGGACUCAAUGUCAGAGUCGAUACUAUGGACAUUUUCCUUGUUAGAACCGGCACUAUCUGAUGUUCUUAAUGAAUUUGGAGCAUGAAGUGGAGUCUGAUCACUCAUUAUCAUAUCAACAGGUCCUGAAAGGGAGUACGUGCCCCACUAUGCUCAGAGGAUGCCAUAUUGUCAACUCAGUUUGUCAUGCAGAUCAUGAUGUACUGUCAGAAAGUAGUCAUAUGUCCUCGAGAUGCCGCGGGCCACACGGGGUGAUAACACCGGAGGUAGGGCAGCACGCCGGGUGGAGAACGUCGCGGCCACCAGGGGCGACGGCGGUGUGGCGACGACGGCGGGGCGAGGAGAGGUUGGGCAGCAAGGCGGGUCGAGGAAGGACGUGCACCGGGGUGGAGGACAUCGCGGCCACCAGGGGCUAGGGUGGCGUGGCGACGGCGACGGGGCGAGGAGAGGUACGGCAGCAAGGCGGGUCGAGGAUGUCCACCGGGUAAGGACGUCGCAGACACCAGCGCUGAUCGCGGCGGUUCCUGGCGUGGUGGCGGCGUAGAUCGUGGAGGUGCUGUUUAUUUCCCAGGAGUUGUCAUCGUGGGGCUGUGUAGCAUCCUGAACGGGGGAGUCUGCCGGCAGAACAUUUGUUGUGAACUGUCGAUCUGAUUGUAGUAUGGUUGACGUAACGUGGACAGUUAGAUGGUACCAAGUGAGUCUGAUCGGACGUGGGGGGUUAUCCUGUGUGCACUUUCUGGUGUGGAUGUAGGGGAAGUCAUGUUUGGUCUUUUAAUAGUAGUGUAGAAGUGUAGAUGUAGAUUUGAAUAUCUUUUUUUUAAUAUAUAUAUUUUUUGAAA
This is a long non-coding RNA of Triticum aestivum (bread wheat), 2381 nucleotides long. RefSeq lists it as uncharacterized. The transcript has 4 exons. The record is from RefSeq and is a predicted model, not a curated record. Lineage: Eukaryota; Viridiplantae; Streptophyta; Magnoliopsida; Poales; Poaceae.